Long non-coding RNA from Xenia sp. Carnegie-2017, 360 nucleotides. RefSeq lists it as uncharacterized. Lineage: Eukaryota; Metazoa; Cnidaria; Anthozoa; Malacalcyonacea; Xeniidae. The record is from RefSeq and is a predicted model, not a curated record. The transcript is spliced from 2 exons.
GUCGUCAAUAAUCUAAAAUUAUAAAGUUGUCUUCAAUUUGAUGCUACACUUGUGGGUUCCACAGAGUAUUCAAAAGUCGUGGGUACAGCAUCCUUCUUAAGGCGAAGCCGUCCUGCUGUCCAUCCUACUGAUUGCAUCGCUUCAAAAUUUUGCACGAAACACGAACUCUCGAAAUGUUGCGAGAGCAAUUUUGAGCUCAUUGUUGGCUUCCAAUUUUUGCGUCGGAUUUUUUCAAUCCAAAUAUCUCGCAUGUGCUUGUUUCGGAAACCAAAAAGAAUCCUUUUGCUGCGUUUGGUGGUUCUUAGAAGAACUGUUUGUACAAUUAAAUGCGGCACAAUAAACCAAAUUUUCAAUGCUAAA